This 445-nucleotide ribosomal RNA is filed under the name uncultured bacterium. Its description in RNAcentral is "partial 16S ribosomal RNA". It matches the Rfam family "Bacterial small subunit ribosomal RNA", at positions 354 to 796 of the family's 1533-position model. The record is from RNAcentral.
GUGAGGAAUAUUGGUCAAUGGGCGAGAGCCUGAACCAGCCAAGUCGCGUGAAGGAUGAAGGUUUUAUGAAUUGUAAACUUCUUUUGCAGGGGAAUAAAGUACGGUACGUGUACCGUUUUGUAUGUACUCUGCGAAUAAGGAUCGGCUAACUCCGUGCCAGCAGCCGCGGUAAUACGGAGGAUCCAAGCGUUAUCCGGAUUUAUUGGGUUUAAAGGGUGCGCAGGCGGGUUGAUAAGUCAGCGGUGAAAGUUUGCAGCUUAACUGUAAAAUUGCCGUUGAAACUGUCGAUCUUGAGUGCAAAUGAGGUAAGCGGAAUGUGUUGUGUAGCGGUGAAAUGCUUAGAUAUAACACAGAACUCCGAUUGCGAAGGCAGCUUACUGGGAUGCAACUGACACUGAUGCACGAAAGCGUGGGUAUCAAACAGGAUUAGAUACCCUUGUAGUCC